This 225-nucleotide unclassified non-coding RNA is filed under the name fungal sp. Its description in RNAcentral is "partial contains small subunit ribosomal RNA, internal transcribed spacer 1, and 5.8S ribosomal RNA". The stretch from base 1 to 46 matches the Rfam family "Eukaryotic small subunit ribosomal RNA", at positions 1786 to 1831 of the family's 1831-position model. The record is from RNAcentral. RNAcentral also lists the same sequence under 2 other names. Lineage: Eukaryota; Fungi.
AAGUCGUAACAAGGUCUCCGUUGGUGAACCAGCGGAGGGAUCAUUACCGAGUUAUUACUCCAAACCCUUUGUGAACCUUACCUUUUUGUUGCUCGGCGCACCGCGGGCCGCGGCUUCGGCCCGUCCCGCAGCGCGCCAGAGGACCCAACUCUUCAAUUUAUAGCGUACCUUCUGAUUUACAAAACAAACAAGUUAAAACUUUCAACAACGGAUCUCUUGGUUCUG